RNAcentral lists this long non-coding RNA (218 nucleotides) under Capsicum annuum. RNAcentral describes it as "long non-coding RNA (CANN_LNC014565)". The record is from RNAcentral. Lineage: Eukaryota; Viridiplantae; Streptophyta; Magnoliopsida; Solanales; Solanaceae.
AACAACAACGACAACAAACCCAGUGUAUUCCCACUUAGUGGGGUCUGGGGGGGGUAAGAUGUACGCAGUCCAUACCUCUACCUCUGAUGAAGUAGAAAGGCUGUUUCCGAAAGACCCCCGGCUCAAGUCACGAGAUAUCACACAAACACAUAGUACAGCACAGAAGCAGAUGACAUAACAUAAAUACGGCACCCAUAAGGAAUAUAAAACAGAGGUGU